RNAcentral lists this small RNA (657 nucleotides) under Pongo abelii (Sumatran orangutan). RNAcentral's name for it is "processed transcript". Lineage: Eukaryota; Metazoa; Chordata; Mammalia; Primates; Hominidae. The record is from RNAcentral.
CAGGACCGGAGCAGGGCCCCAAGCCCCGGGCCUGGUGGGGGACGCGCUUCUUCCCACACCCUGAGCCUCAGCAGCUCCAGCCAGCGGACCCGACGGCUGAGAGGAGCCCCAGAACCAGGACUGGGGGAUUUGGAGCUGGGCAGAGACUUAACCCCCACAGCACCGGGAAGCAGCCAACUCCCCUCGCCUCCUUCCCCCUUCGUGGCUUGCGGUCUCUCUUCCCCGCCUCGGCCCCCAGGAAGUGAAGAUGUUACAGCCUGGUUCUCAUCCUCCCUCACCCCAAGCUGCUGCUCCUGGAGAAGCCUGGCCAGGCCCCUCUCAGGCUCCCUGGCAGAGCCUAGAGGAGAAGAUGGGGAGCCCCGAGGAUGAUCUGAUUGGGAUUCCAUUCCCGGACCACAGCAGUGAGCUCCUGAGCUGCCUCAAUGAGCAGCGCCAGCUGGGCCACCUAUGUGACCUCACCAUCCGGACGCAGGGCCUUGAAUACCGCACCCACAGGGCUGUGCUAGCUGCCUGUAGCCACUACUUCAAGAAGCUUUUCACUGAGGGUGGUGGCGGAGCUGUCAUGGGGGCCGGGGGCAGCGGGACGGCCGCUGGGGGAGCAGGGGCCGGAGUGUGUGAGCUGGACUUUGUAGGGCCAGAGGCACUAGGCGCCCUCCU